RNAcentral lists this ribosomal RNA (492 nucleotides) under uncultured bacterium. RNAcentral's name for it is "partial 16S ribosomal RNA". It matches the Rfam family "Bacterial small subunit ribosomal RNA", at positions 29 to 507 of the family's 1533-position model. The record is from RNAcentral.
AGUGAACGCUGGCGGUAGGCCUAACACAUGCAAGUCGAACGGCAGCACAGUAAGAGCUUGCUCUUACGGGUGGCGAGUGGCGGACGGGUGAGGAAUACAUCGGAAUCUACUUUUUCGUGGGGGAUAACGUAGGGAAACUUACGCUAAUACCGCAUACGACCUACGGGUGAAAGCAGGGGAUCUUCGGACCUUGCGCGAUUGAAUGAGCCGAUGUCGGAUUAGCUAGUUGGCGGGGUAAAGGCCCACCAAGGCGACGAUCCGUAGCUGGUCUGAGAGAAUGAUCAGCCACACUGGAACUGAGACACGGUCCAGACUCCUACGGGAGGCAGCAGUGGGGAAUAUUGGACAAUGGGCGCAAACCUGAUCCAGCCAUACCGCGUGGGUGAAGAAGGCCUUCGGGUUGUAAAGCCCUUUUGUUGGGAAAGAAAAGCAGCAGGUUAAUACCCCGCUGUUCUGACGGUACCCAAAGAAUAAGCACCGGCUAACUUCGUG